RNAcentral lists this ribosomal RNA (468 nucleotides) under uncultured bacterium. RNAcentral's name for it is "partial 16S ribosomal RNA". It matches the Rfam family "Bacterial small subunit ribosomal RNA", at positions 28 to 507 of the family's 1533-position model. The record is from RNAcentral.
GACGAACGCUGGCGGCGUGCUUAACACAUGCAAGUCGAACGGAAAGGCCCUGCUUUUGUGGGGUGCUCGAGUGGCGAACGGGUGAGUAACACGUGAGUAACCUGCCCUUGACUUUGGGAUAACUUCAGGAAACUGGGGCUAAUACCGGAUAGGAGCUCCUGCUGCAUGGUGGGGGUUGGAAAGUUUCGGCGGUUGGGGAUGGACUCGCGGCUUAUCAGCUUGUUGGUGGGGUAGUGGCUUACCAAGGCUUUGACGGGUAGCCGGCCUGAGAGGGUGACCGGCCUCAUUGGGACUGAGAUACGGCCCAGACUCCUACGGGAGGCAGCAGUGGGGAAUAUUGCACAGUGGGCGGAAGCGUGAUGCAGAAAUGCCGCGAGCGGGAUGCCGGCCUUCUGGUUGUAAACCGCUUUCGCCUGUGACGAAGCGUGAGUGACGGUAAUGGGUAAAGAAGCACCGGCUAACUACGUG